RNAcentral lists this ribosomal RNA (429 nucleotides) under Pseudomonadota bacterium. RNAcentral's name for it is "Proteobacteria bacterium partial 16S ribosomal RNA". It matches the Rfam family "Bacterial small subunit ribosomal RNA", at positions 355 to 776 of the family's 1533-position model. The record is from RNAcentral. Lineage: Bacteria; Pseudomonadati; Pseudomonadota.
UGGGGAAUAUUGGACAAUGGGCGAAAGCCUGAUCCAGCCAUGCCGCGUGUGUGAAGAAGGUCUUCGGAUUGUAAAGCACUUUAAGUUGGGAGGAAGGGCAGUAAGCGAAUACCUUGCUGUUUUGACGUUACCGACAGAAUAAGCACCGGCUAACUCUGUGCCAGCAGCCGCGGUAAUACAGAGGGUGCAAGCGUUAAUCGGAAUUACUGGGCGUAAAGCGCGCGGAGGUGGUUCGUUAAGUUGAAUGUGAAAGCCCCGGGCUCAACCUGGGAACUGCAUCCAAAACUGGCGGGCUAGAGUAGGGCAGAGGGUGGUGGAAUUUCCUGUGUAGCGGUGAAAUGCGUAGAUAUAGGAAGGAACACCAGUGGCGAAGGCGACCACCUGGGCUAAUACUGACACUGAGGUGCGAAAGCGUGGGGAGCAAACAGG